This 13454-nucleotide long non-coding RNA is filed under the name Coffea arabica (coffee). RNAcentral's name for it is "long non-coding RNA (CARA_LNC005215)". Lineage: Eukaryota; Viridiplantae; Streptophyta; Magnoliopsida; Gentianales; Rubiaceae. The record is from RNAcentral.
GGGGAUUGGGAGAUGGUACAAAAAGAAAAAAACAUCAGCCGCAAAGGGAUCCUUAUCAGGGGAAAGAUAGAAAACAGCAAAAAAAAAAGCUAAGGGAGAAAACCAGCAAAGGGGAAGAGAGAAACACAAGCAAAAAAAAAGAAACCUACCGAGGGGACAGAGUGACGGCGGAAAGAAAAAUCUGGGCCAAAGAGAGAGGGACCAAAGAAAGGGUAAAAACUGAGGAGAAGAUAGAGAGCUUUUGGAGAGUAAGCCGACGGGAAAGGAAGAAAGAAACUGACGAGGGAGGUUUGAGAGAGUGCGGGAAGGUUGAGCAAGCGUCAGGGAGAGCUGGGAAGAAACCAUCAACGUAACAAGAAGAGGGGAAAUCGAAAAUCUGGAGGCCCAUCGCAGCAGAAAGGAGGAACUUUCCUUAGUUUCCUUUGUCCGGUGUCAGUGAUUCAUUGCUCCUCCAUUCAAGCGUUGUUUGUUCACGAUUCCAAGGAGUGAAGGUAACCUCUCAUCUUUUUCGGUCAUGAUUCAGCAGGCUUUCAUUUGACUGUUAAACCAUUUUUUUAAUUUGCUGUAUGCAUCUUGGGAGAUGGGGAACCCGUGUCAUGGCUAUCAAUCUUGGAUGUCCGCUGAUGAAACUGCAAAUUUUAGUUGAUUUCGGAUGAUACCACCAUAGAUUUCACCCGAAACCAGAAACCAUUUGUUUUUCCCCUGUGCGUCCUUCAUGUUUUCACCUUGUUUUGUCUAAAAAUGGUCUGUGUGGCAUUUGUUUUGACUGUUAGAACCCUUAAGAGUUAGAUUCAGAGUCUACUGCAACAAGCUUCAAGCUGUUGGCUUGAUGCAGCCGUUUCGUUUUUUUCCUUUUCUUUCCUUCUCUUGGUUGCUGAAUUUGUAGCGUGUCGGGCAUGUUCUUGACUUGGAAGUUUUGUUGUCAUUCGUAUGAGUUUCUGGUGCUUGAAUAUAAAAGUUGGAAAAUAGGAAGAAUCUUGGGCACUCCUGUGGCUUGCUUUCAUGUUUGCAUUACACCUAAGUUUGAGCAUAAAAAUCUGCUGCCAUGGUUCCUAUUUUCUAUCAAUUGGUUGCAGCAGCCUUUGAUUUGUUUUAUGGCUGAGGUUUGUUCGUUAAUUCUGAGUUGCGCUUGUGGGGGCAGUGGUUAAAUGGUUAUGUUUGUUGUGGUCUUAAUGGAAUGUUUGUUUCUUUUCUUGUUGUGUUUUUUUGCAAUCAGCUAUGAGCAGAAAUUUGCUGCAGUUCUCUUUCUUUUUCUUACUGAUCAAACCAGAUUUGUGAUCUCAAUCUUGUCGACAAAAUCUCAUGUUUUGAUUUGGGUCAAUAGUUUCUGUUUGAGGAAUUUGUUUGUAUGAUGAAAUUGAUGUAGUUAUUGCUGGAAAUUACCGCAAACUUGGAAACCGAAAAUGCAGCAAGUUUCAUUUUGAUUGUUUGAACUAUUUAUUUGAGGUGUUUUGAGAGUUGAUUAACAUGGUUGAGUGGAGCUGAUUCAUAGUUUAGCUUGAAUUGUGUGCUUGCUGUAAGAGGUUGCUUGGGAUUGCUGAAGUUGUGUGCGAGAAACUAUAGUAAAAUGGCCGAAGGAAUGGUUGCAGCUUUGGUCGAAAUUUGCUGAUUGCAUGCAUGCAAAUAUUUUUCCAAAAAUUGCAUUUUUAGACCUCCAAGUCUCCUCUUGUUUCACAAUGACCCAACAAAUGGAAUAAUUUCUUCAAUUAGAUCCCCGUGAUUUUUGCAGUAAUGCUUCAAAGCUCACUAAUGCUCUAAUUUAUUGCUAUUGGGUCAUGAAGUAAUUGCAUUUUAACUCACUUGACUUUCCUUUGUUCUCGGACCUUCAAAAUUCCUAAAAAUAUCUCAAUUGGUUUUGUUUGAUUAGAUUAGUGGUUGCAUUUGGGUCCUUAUCAUGUGCUUUAUUUAGGAUUUGAAUAGGUCAUGCCUUCUCCUUGAUCUUUAAGUAUCUUUUGACUAUAUUUAAGUUGUGAUUGAGGAAUGAUUUGAUGAUUUGAUGAAUGCCAUUUGGAUUAUUUAUAUUUUAUUAUUAAAGUGGUGCCUUGACCUUUUUAUUAUUUUGGAGGGUAAUUGAAUAAUUUCACUUCAUUGGGGCGUCAAUUCAAGGGAGGUACACUCUAUCCCUCAUUUGCACUACAUUUGACCUUACGUGCUCCUACGUGUUAUGUGAAUAUGCAUGUCUACUUCGCUUUCCUUACCUCCUUGCAUGCAUUUACUUGUUUUUUUGCUUUUAUUUUAAGUUUUAUGGGGUAUGUGUACACCUCUUGGCUUGUAAUAGAUAGGGCUCGGAGAGCAUCUGGUCCAUUUCCCCUUCCCCUUUAUGCUUUUAUGGGGUAUGUGUACACCUCUUGGCUUGUAAUAGAUAGUGCUCGGAGAGCAUCUGGUCCAUUUCCCCUUCCCCUUGGUUGCUUGCUUUUGUUGCUACAUGUUUAAUUGCUUUAUUAGGUUCUUGCAUCUAGUCGAGCAUGCUAAAUGCUAUGUGCUAUGUGUUUACGAGUAUUUUGGCAUGUCUACUUGCUUUCAUAGCCAUGAAUGAAUGGAAUGGAUGAAUGUACGUUUCCGCUAGUCCAACGCUAGUCGGAAUUCAUAGAAUGGGCUAGUCCAACGCUAGACCCUUAGGGAUUUCCCCUCAUUAGCAUAUCAUUUGCUUGUUCACUACAUAUCAUGCAUUUUUCCCUAGUUUUAUCAUCUGGCAUGCUCCUCGAGCCCUUUCCCCUCACUUUAGGUUUUGCAUCCCAUACUAGCUAUAGGGUUCAUUUUGCUUGAGUGUCCCCUCUUGAUAAGGGAAACGAGCGAGUGUGGCUACUCGAUAGCCUUAGCACGCUAGUUUCGCCUUCUAAUCAAAGGGAAAAUCAAGUCACGAUUUAGGUCUCCCCGUACCCAAUAUGCAUGAAUUCCCUAGGCUCAUGCAUUCUCAAUCCACUCUAUCAUUACACUUUCACUUUUGUCUCAUUUGCACACAUGCACCCUUUUAUCACUUUCACUUGCACACGAACACUUUUAUCUUCACUCGCACACGAGUACUUUCAUCUACAUUUGCACACCUUCACUCUUAUCUUAUUACUUUUAUCAUUUUUUCACUUCACAUAAACUCACACUUUCACAUGGCAUGCAUUCCACUCAUUUUUCACGUCAUUUAGGUUUAGGUGUGACCUCUCCAAAAGGAUCAUUAUUGGGCUUCACAAUUAAUGUGAUUGGCACCACUCAACCUUUGAAGAGAAAUUUCCCCCAAUCCCCCUAGGUCUAGGUUUUUGCAUUCAUAUAGACAUAUCCAAUACGUGAUACAUACCUUGGGUAGAAAAAUUAGGAAAAAUUGGUUUGAGUCGCGCAACUAGCCUUGGCUAGGUCAAAGGGGUGCCUUGGAUUCUAUCCUUGCCUUCCCCUUUGUCAAACGUGACCCCCGAACCUUUUUCUUUGGCUUACGUGGACUAGGAGUCGUUUUAAAAAGGGUUUUACUACUUUGUCUUUAAAAAACACUUUUUUUGGGUGACUUGGUACACCCCAAAUCUAUACCAAGUGGCGACUCCGUUUUUCAUAUUUAAAAACCCUUUUUAAAAUUUCAUUUGGCCAAAUCGUCGCUUUCCAAAGUCCCAUGGCCUUUUUACUUUUCAUUUUGCACACGUUCACACCACACACCACACAUCACCAACACACAUUCACACUACACAAUCAAAAAGUGGGGCGCGACAAUUGCUCAAGUGUUUUUCGAAUAAUCAACGAUGACAACAAUAAAGAAGCUGACUACUCACAAAGAGUGAUAGAGAUCAAUACAUCGAUGAUGAUCAAUUCAUCCAAAUAAUUUCAAAGAAGUUCAAAACUAGCAGUAAAACAAUACAAAUGCAACAAAAUUUAAAGUAAAAAACUCUAACACCUUCAGAAUACUAUGAAUGUGGAGUAUGUCGAAAUCAUUUAAAAGUUUGUAAAAUUUUCAAUCAGUUAAAAUUGAGAAGUGUAUAUCCUCUUUGGAAUUUUUUAAUAAAUAGGUCCGAAUUUAUGUCAAACCUUACACCGUUUAUAGGUAAUUUUUUAUUGAGAAAAAGAAAACUAUUUACUUUCACAAAUUCUCAUAAACUAAAAGUAGUUUUAAUAUCUUGUUAUCUUUUCUUCAUGCGGGCCCAUUUGCCAUAACACGUGGACUUGCAAAAUUUACUUUGUCCUGCUUUUUAUUUUUUUAAAACCCUUGUUAAAUUUUGCAUAACCACUUAUUUUCAAGAACCUCCUUUGCCAAAACCAUUGCCAUUACACUUUAGUUUUUUUUUUCCAACUCGAAAAGCCUUUUGCUUUUUGUGUUAUUCCUACUAAAGUAAAAAUAUAGAGAAGCUAAUACCUAGUUAGUAGUAACUACUAACUAGUAACUAGUAAUGAUCUCUAACCAAGUAAAAGUCCAAGGCCCAAGGCCAGGCAAUAAAAAGUUAGGAAAAGAUUAGGAGGCAUAGGCGGGUCAAAUAGCGGAUCUCACUUGUACACGCCCACUGAAGACACAGUUCUCCCAGCUGAACCGCAACGCAGCGUCUUCCGGCGGCAGCCAACGGCGAGGAUAUACUUCUCUACCUCUUUAUCCGGUAAGGUUACUUUAUUUUAUCUCUCUCUUCUCGCCUUUUAUUUAUUUAUUUACUUUUAAUCUCACAAAUUUCAAUCUCUUGUAUGCAUCUUUGUUUUUUUUUUUUUUGCUAUAAUUCUUAGAAUUGAUUGUACACUUCUAUUUUUACGUUUGUCUACGAUUUUUUAAACUUUUUUUUUCGAAGCUUUGUGAUGGAUUUAUUGGUAUAUAGUUUCUGCUAAUUAAUUUUUGGUAGUUUUCUUGCUGGACUUUGGGUUUAGGGUUUUGCGUAGGGAGCAUAGCAGGAAAUAGCAAUAGCAAUGAGUCGUAGCUUAGGUAUACCGGUGAAGCUUCUACACGAAGCCACAGGACACAUCGUGACCGUAGAGCUGAAGAGCGGAGAGCUCUAUAGAGGCAGCAUGGUUGAAUGCGAAGACAAUUGGAAUUGCCAGCUCGAGAACAUCACUUUCACAGCUAAGGUACUCUCGUUCCAAUGUUAUUAUGCCCUUCAUUAAGAAUUGUGAAAGUGCUUUUCUGUUUCCGGUGUCUUUAUGCUGCUUUCGAGCUUCGUAAUGCCUUUUUCUUUCACUUUGAUUCCAAUGCAUGAUGGGCGGAAGCCAACGAUGAUUUUCUGUGGCAGGAAAAUUGAAACUAUGGGAUGUUAGUAAAUUGGAAUUGAAAUCUAUUCACUCUUUAAGGAGGUAACAUGGGUUGGGUGGUGAAUGCUAUUCAGAACACGAGGACAAUCAGUUGUAUUUGUGCUCAUAAAUGAUUUAUACAGGUUUUCGUAGUAAGAAUUUCAUGUUUGUGGCAAAAGUAUUUUAAAACUAUUAUUGGCAAUAUGUUCUCAUAUAACAGAAUUCUAUCCAACUAAAUUCCAGGUCGUGUAUUUUCUUUUUUUAAAUUCUUUGAUCUUACAUGCAAAACUGUUCUUUAAUAUGUGUUUUUUUUUGUUGUGGGUUAGGUCUUUAAUAUGUGUUUUUAUUGUAGAUUUAAGCAUCUUAUUUUAUGAUGUGUCCUUUAGGUAUCAGAUGCACGUCUCAGAUUUUACAACAAAUUAAGUGUCUUCUGCACACAUGCAUUAGAGUUCACAGCGUGUCGGACUACUUGGGGUUGGGGUUGUAAGGAACUUUUUGACCUGUGGAUGCUCAUUUAUCAUACUUAUUUUAACUGACAGCUAGUUUUAAGAGUAUUCCUCCCUUGAUAAUUUCAUUGAAAUUGGACCUGUCAUUUUUGACAUUCAUAAGCAAUUAUUUCCAGUGCCAUAUAAUUUCUUCUACAUCAAUGGCUACAGAAUGUAAGAUCUCUUUUUGAAUUGUUGAUAGCUUCUGAACAGUCUCUUAUCCUUUCAUGGAUCUUUGAAGCACUGAUAUAAUUUACAUCUUCAGCCGCCUCAAUCCUGAUAUCUUCUUUUUUGAACCUCUGAACUGAAGCAAAUUAGCUUCAAGACUUCAGUUGUUUUUGACUGCCUAUUAGAGAGAGUUUCAUCGGAUUAAGAUGUUAUAUUGUGCCCUUUUGGCUUUUUUUAGUCUUGUGGAAGACUAAUUUUGGUCUGUAUCUUUACAGGAUGGCAAGGUAUCACAACUUGAGCAUGUUUUCAUUCGAGGAAGCAAAGUCAGGUACAAAAACUGUAAUAUAAAAUGUUUUUUGAUUCUCUCAACUGCUUUCUGAGUUCUGAUUGCGGGUAAAACAAAUUUUUAUCAGGUUUAUGGUGAUUCCCGAUAUGCUUAAGAAUGCUCCAAUGUUCAAACGUCUAGAAGCUAGAAUCAAGGUGCUUUCCCAGUUUGCCCAUGUGUAUUAGAGUGUAUUUGUGACCAUCACAGCUCUGCUUACACUUUUUAUAUUAUCUUUUGAAGGGCAAGGGUUCAGCACUUGGCGUUGGACGGGGACGUGCUGUUGCCAUGAGAGCCAGGGUAAGAUCUAUUUCGUGACUUUUACAUCUUAUACUCCAAGAUCAUUUAUUUAAAUCCAAAAGUUAGGAAUGACACUCCAUAUCUUUACUGUAAGCUCUGAAAUGCAUUAUGAUCUCUUGUCAAGAAAAGGCAAUGCUGGAUGGCCUCUCUAGAACUGGGAUUUAACAAAUACUGUAAAACAAAGAAAAUUUAGUUGUACGGAGUAUGUAAAAUGAUUAGCUUGGAGAAAUAUAUGGGGUUACAAAUUAAGUUUUGUGGGGUGAAGUUUGCCUGACUGUGCCAUCCGUGUAUGCAGGCUCAGGUUGCUGGUCGUGGAGCUCCACCUGGCAGGGGCGUUGUGCCACCUGUAAGGAGGUGAUCAUUCCAAAAUAUGAUUGUAAUCUUAAUCUUAAGAGCGUCAAAGCUCGUAUAUUAUGCACGGGAGAUCAUCAAAUCCAUGUUCUGCAGCCCAAUUUGGUAUAGGAUAAUAUUUGGCCUUUGAGACCUUAAAAAUUAUGUACGCUUUUGAACUUGGCUAGUGCUCAUUUAGAGACGUGAAUGGUUUUCCAAUUUACGCUUCUGUUUUAGCUGAUUCUAAAAUUUGAUGUAAACCAAAUCGAUUGGCUGUCUGUUAGUCAUGUAGCGAACGAAGUCGAUGUGGGAAGUCGUAUUCCGCUGUAACGUGGAAAUAGCAAAUUGCCUCCAUCCGUAAUUACUUGUGCGGAUGCAAAUAGCGAGCAAUGCAAUAAGCUUUUUGAAAAGGAUCGAUCCAGAGUUUGAAUGAUUAUCAGGAUUGCAAAGGCUAUGGAGGAGAGGUUAGUUUUUGGUGGUGAAACGUAGUUGAUAAUCCAGAAAUGCGUGUACCCUUUCAUUAACCGCUGCCCGGGCUGCUACGGAAACACCUUUUACUGCCCACUGGUUGGAAGAUCCAAAACUUCGUGGUUAUAUUGAAUGAGCGGCCAUUAGGCAGACUGUUUGUGCCUCUGACAAAUUGAACGACCUUUGAAGUAGAAAUUAAAUUAUGCGAAUUGGAACCCGACCCAACUCAUGGCCCUUUAAAUGAAAUGGAGCAAUUCUAACUCAGAUGUUUUUCGGCCCAAUAUGCACCAAAACAGACAUACUGCUUGAAAUUCUCCAUUUUGGAAAACCUUUCCUCUUUCGUCUACUGAUUGAGGGCUAUGACGAGAUAUAGCCUGGCUUGUACAUUCCUACUCCGUCUAUUUAUGCUCACUUACUAUAUCUGUAUACAGCAGGAUGAUUGAUUUUCCAAGUCCAUUUGCUGGAUCCAGUAGCCAAAAACAAUAUGUGACUGACUAUCUGGAACAGUUGCAGGCUACAUUUCGUUUCCGCCUUAAAAUACACUCCUUUUUAUGAGUGAUGGAGCAAAGGUGUUUACUUCUGCAUAUUCAAAAAGUUUUAACGCCUUCUUAAGUUGGUGGAUAAAGGUGUAAAUAUCUGAUGCGGACAAAAUUACGGUUUAAAAGAUUUUUUUUUUGGGGGGGUAAGGUAUUCCACCUAAGGUUAAGUGGGUUUUCACUUUUCAGUGCUUCAAAAUUUUAGUGUCCUCAGAUUUGAGUGCUUCAAAAUUUCAGUGCUUCAAUUGCCACGUUAAGUGAUUUUACUUUAAAAAAUAUUCAGUCGGGUGCACGGUGGUGGUUCAGUCCCUUCCAAAUUACCUUUGGACUUCUUUAGUUCCGUCCCUCCCCCUAAUGGAGGAUAGAAUAGAUUUACCGUCUCCGUUAAAAAAAAAAAAAAAAAAGAAGAUUUGAGACAUAAAAAGUAGACCAGUGAAUAGUCAUCAACCGUCUCCCGCCUCCUGACUCACUGGCUCGCUUCUGCUCGAAUUUCUUUCGCUGAACUUUCAUCGAACUAAAUCUUGACCUUUGAUGAUGGAAAUUUGAUUUUCUCCGAAGAUGCGUUUUAAGAAAAGUUGUGUUAGCAAGAAGGGUACUUUUCGUAUCUCUUUUCUUCUUCGCCUGAUGCAUUUGUUUUCGAAAGUAGACUUUUGUAAGGAUAUUAUUAGCAAAAAAUUCCUAAUUUUAUGUUUCACACCGGCCCCCUUCCUCUCGAUUCACUCGAGAUUCAGGUUUUGAAAUAACAGGAAUUCAGCUUUGUUUGGAUCUCCUGUUUUUGGAGUGUUUUUCAAAAACUAGUUUUUCAGAUACAAUAAAAGUUACAACAAAGUACUCUAAAAGAUAAUCUAAAAAUUAGUUUAAAUUUUUUUAAAAUUUCACCAAAUAUCUCAUAAUAAAGUGCCAAUAAAAAAUAUUUCAAAAUAUUUUCUAAAAAUAUUUCAAAAUAUACUCUAAAAACUCUGCUACAGCAAAGUUUUUCAAAAACACCCCAAAAACAGCUAAUCCAAACGGAUUAUUACUAUAAUACCGUAGUACUCUUUCUUUCUCGUGUAACAAUGACCACACAGCUAGUCGCCACAAACCAAAUCUAAUGUUCCACCAACCAAUUCUAAGAUUGAAAUUCACACAUCUGUCAUUCCCAAAAAGGAAAGGACUUCUUUAUCGCAACAGACGUUAGUUUACAGUACUAGUAUUGUUCUCCAGAUUGUGUGGUGUCGAUGAAAGCCCGAUGACGAAGACAGAAUUGUGUAAUAAAAAUCUUCCUAGCACAAGUAGUCACGCUAUGAAUUAGAUGCAACAGAACUUCCCUACAACCUAAAUCAAAUCCUAUCCAUCCCAAGUGUUUGAUUCACAAUUCACAAACAAGAGUCUCUCUUGCCACAUUAUUUCUGUGCAUGAACAGGCAGGGAGACACUGUACAGGCCACAGAAAGGGACUGCCAAAAUUCAUCUGUAUCAAAGCCUGGCAGCUGAUCUGGAAAAUAUAAUAGUGCAACAACCAAACGUUUGGUAUAAUUUUUCUUUAGUCUUCAAGCACAACAAAAGUGUUCUCCGAAUUGAAGUUCUUGAGCGGUAGCGAUCAAUGGUUUUGGCUCUCCAAAGUGCGCCGAAGGUACGUAUUUAUUUUAUUUGGCAUUUGGGCGGCGACCGAGGACCAAUAAAAUUGUCUCACUUGACGUUGACUUGGUUAUGGAAGUCAGAAAUUUCGACGGUGAAGUUACAAAAGAUGUCAAUUUCAGAUGAAUGGUUGGACCACUAAUGGUGAUCGCAAUGACUUCGAAAGAUUGACUACUAUUUUUAUAACGGGGAUUUAUGCGUUGAAUAGGCUUUCUUUCUACUGAAAAUGCUUGUUUGACCCGAUGAGAAGACUUUUUUGGUUUUGUGUGAACACAAAUUUCAACUUUUACAGUGGAUUCCUUUGGUUUGACUUUCCAAUAUAUAUAUAUAUAUAUUCAUGAAAUGUAUGACAUCAUAGCUUAAGGUGAUUGAGAGUCAAAAACAUAUAUAAUGAAGAAUGACUGGAGGAUGAUGUGAGGGUUUAACGCCUCUCUUAUCAAUCAGAGUUUUAUUAGCACAAAGGAAAUUGUUUUUGAUCAGCUUCUAAUUCCUCCUACGAAUAUGAGUAUGGAUUUGCUUAAUUCGGUUCCGUCAAUAAACCCUAAUAGUAUUAGGUCUUACGUCCAAUCCAAAUCCAGAGACCAAAAUCUUAAUCUUCAAUUGUGUGAACUUAAUCAAACCAUUGAAUUAGGGGACCAUUUGGAGGUCCCAACUGCAUGUGCUGGGCAGAAUAUGUUUCCAACAUGCAUGUCUUGGUCGAUUUAUGAAACCAUGCCCAAUCAAUAUUUGAUGAUUGAUGGAAUUGAUUAACCUGACUUCUGUUCUACUUAAUAAAACUGAUCAGUAAUCGAUCGACUUCCCUGCUUAAUGAUGAAAUGAUGAUCAUCUGCAAGACCAAAAGCCAUUGCUUAAAACUCAGGGGCAAGAAAAUGAAAAUAAAUAAAAAUCAAACUUGAGUGCGAUGGAUGAAUUUAACUGUCACAGUCAAUCACUCAUAUUCUUUUUUUUUUCUUUUAAGGAUUGCUCAAACACUCGAUAAUACACUUAAGAUACGAUGAAUUUACUACUACGUGAAUGCAUGCACAUAUUCAUAUUUAUUACAUCUAUGUAUUUAGACAUUUUCUCAAAGUAAUUUCACUUUUACAAAGAAUUAAGUAGAGUACUCUCUUAACGAUUGACCCUUAUUAAUUACAAACACAAAUCAGUUGCUAUCUCCUCAAUACCAGAUCGAGAGACGUUACGUCUUUCUCAUACUACUAGUUGUCCGCAAUAACGAAGUCAACUCCAACAUUUUGUAGUUUUUCUCUUGUUCAUAUCCAUGCAUAGAGAAGCUGUGUAAGAACUGAAAAUAAAGAACUUGGCCAAAGCUGGGAUGCAAUAUCCCUGGUUCCGGAUAUGACAAACUAAUUUAGUGGUUGACAAGAAAGGUAGCUAGCUGCGUGGAUGGAAAUAAGUUGCCGGUGGAUCGAAAUGGGGAUUGAAUAAUUGGCUAAAAAAUGGCCUACUCAAUAGCUUGGAGGGGCCAGUAAAGACUUGAAUGUUGUCAUUGACAUGGAAAAAUUAGAACGAAGAAACGCGUACGUUAACCAUCAUGCAGAUUGCAGAUGCCGUCUUUAUCACUAUUACUAGUGGUUCGGGCUGCGGGGGCAAUUAGCAUACAUAUGGGACCUUUUGAACGCCAAAUUAUCACUUAAAAUAGGGAAAAUCAGUAGCCUCCUUAUAGAUUUAUUGUACCAUAAAGUUUUUAGUGGACAAAAAGAAUUUCAAUGUCGGAUUAUUUGUUUUUCAAUUAUAAGAGAAUUGAUGAGUACGUCCCUACAUUCUUUCUUUUUUUUUUUUUUUCAAUCGAAAACUGUUUUCCAUAAUGGCGUUUUUUUUCUUUGAUAGUGGAAAUAUCAUAAUGGCUUUUUUUUUUAUAUAGUAUUAUCAUUUUUUUUAAAAAGGAUAAGAAGCAAAGACUUUAUUGGUAAUUCAUUUUACACCAUGAUGAUGAUGUGCAAGUCCAAGUUAUGUAGCUUCAAGUAUUUCGCUUUCUUUUAUGAAAAGGAAAAUGGGAUUUGACCCACUCAAGUUGCAUGUAACGUGUGAUCAUAGAGUACGAAAAAAUAAGAUGGUUUCCAAGUCCACGGAAAGUAAUUGUCAAAGUGACACUAAAAACUUUGUGGUGCAUCAAAAGGUUGGUUAGUUGCUUAAUAUUAGUUGAAUGUGUAUAUCAUUCAUCUUAGUAUACACUUACAUCUGUAAUGCGAGAGUGCAUAUUGUAAAAAACACGUUUUUUUUUUUUUUUUUUAUGUUGAGGCCUUUGGCUAUAUUGAGCGAACUCUUAAUACUUGUGUAAAUAAUAGUAAGCCAUUAGUUAGUUGAUUAUGAAAUUGUAUAAAUAAAAAUAUAUCAUUAGUUAGUUGAUCGUAUGGUCAAUUUUUUUUUUUUCUAAAUGAUAGAUUUUGAAUUUAAAAUCUCUUAUUUAAAAUCUUUUUAAUUUACCAUCUAACUCAACCUUUCGUAGGUCGUGAGACCACUUGUUCGACUUUCAAUUCUUCUAGUUUUUCCCUUCUCCAAGACUCAAUAUCUCCUUUGAAACAAACAAAAUAAAAAGAAAUUAUUUUGAAAAACUUGGUAGGUGUUGUAUCAGAGACUGUAAGCAGUAGGACGUUGCUCCCAUUUAAGAUGUGCACCAAUGAGUUGCAUGGUUUACAGGAUAUUAUGUCUACGUAAUUAAAUAUCUUUGAGCUCUACAAUCUUCAUAGGAAUAUUAUUGGCUUACCUUGUAUAUUAUUCUAAGUGCCCGUGCGAUCUUCAAAUUGAUAUAUAACCACCAAAAUCGAAUACAGCCCAGCAUUUAUUUCAGAACACGUUUCAAUCUUCAACUUUUCGGACAAAAUGAUCGAACCAGAAAGAGAAACAAGUUUCGACAACUAUGUCAUGAUACAGUAUGCUUUCAUUUCAUGCAUGUCUUGGUUAGUUCCCUGAUUGCAGAUUAAUGCAGACGAUUGAUCAAGUACAUACUUUAAAUGAAGCAAGUAUCUAUCAUGUUACUGCUAACUACCGCGGUAGAACUUCAUAACCUCAGACCAACAAUGAAUUUUAGAUUGAAUCAUGAGCCUUGAAAGAAUUCACCAAAAAAAUAAUGCAAAUGGUCAAGUUUUGGCGCAACUUCAUAGUUCGUAUACAUAUGAAGAGGGGAAAAAAACGGAAAUCUGGAAAUCUCCGCUCUGCUGUCUCUUAGACUAUAACAAAAACAAGAGAAAUUUCCAAUUUCCAAAUUCGUGUAUAUACAGAUCUCCACUAAUGAAAAAAAACCAGACAAUUAGUUUCCAAGUGGUCAGAUGAUGGAUAUCCCAUGCACUAAACUAGUUAGCUUAAGUAACCGGUGGUGCCCAUCAUCCAUGUUAUAGUAAACCUUAAUCCACCUCUACAUACGACAAGAAACUCCAUCUUGCAUCAUCAGCUCCCUUAAUUAUCUGAUCAUGGAAAAUAGAGAGCAAAAAACUUCUUCAUCACAAGGAAUGGUGAGGCCCAUCUCAUGGUUGAAGCCAAACUCUUCUUCAGCUCGUUGUAACAAGCUCUGGAAUUCCGGGUGUUCCAACCAAGAAAUGGGGAUGAUGUAUCUGGUCCUAUUUUGACCAACAUAUACUGCAAAAUGGCCUUUUGGGACAUCAUGUGGAAGGCUAUUGUCGUGAUCAUGACCAGUAUUCUUCCUUCCAAAACUUGAACACUUUUUGAGGAUUUGUUUGAGGGCCGCCGUUUGAGUAGCGGCAUGUUUUGUUCCUUUCUUAAGAGCCAUGUUUAUGGACUUUAGAAGAAAAAGGCUCAGCCAGGCAAAGAAGAGAUAGAAAUUGUAUGUAUUAAGAGAAUGAAGGAUUCGAAGGAGGUGGGGAUGAAUUGAGGAGAAUGUGGAGGAGUAGUAGUUGUAUUUAUGGGGAAAAAGAAGAAGACAGGGAGUGAUUAUCUGCGAAACAAAGACAUGUGGAGUGUGGGGGCAACAAACUAACAGGGCUUAGAUGUUCUUAUUUGAGAAGUCUUGUUCAAGGCCAUGCAACCUCAUUCCCCAUUUGGCCUUUUCCCUUUUUCUUGUUACCCCUCCCAUAGACAAAGUGGACCACUAUACUCU